UGGCUCAGAACGAACGCUGGCGGCGUGCUUAACACAUGCAAGUCGAACGAUGAUCAGGAGCUUGCUCCUGUGAUUAGUGGCGAACGGGUGAGUAACACGUGAGUAACCUGCCCCUGACUCUGGGAUAAGCGUUGGAAACGACGUCUAAUACUGGAUACGACUGCCGGCCGCAUGGUCUGGUGGUGGAAAGAUUUUUUGGUUGGGGAUGGACUCGCGGCCUAUCAGCUUGUUGGUGAGGUAAUGGCUCACCAAGGCGACGACGGGUAGCCGGCCUGAGAGGGUGACCGGCCACACUGGGACUGAGACA
RNAcentral lists this ribosomal RNA (307 nucleotides) under uncultured Curtobacterium sp. RNAcentral's name for it is "bacterial SSU rRNA". It matches the Rfam family "Bacterial small subunit ribosomal RNA", at positions 20 to 326 of the family's 1533-position model. Lineage: Bacteria; Bacillati; Actinomycetota; Actinomycetes; Micrococcales; Microbacteriaceae. The record is from RNAcentral.